GGGCGCAUGGUUUAGGGGUAUAACGCUCCAUUCGCAUUGGAGAGGUCCCGGGUCCGAUUCCCGGUGUGUCCA
Molecule: transfer RNA, 72 nt
Organism: Aspergillus versicolor CBS 583.65
Lineage: Eukaryota; Fungi; Ascomycota; Eurotiomycetes; Eurotiales; Aspergillaceae
Rfam family: tRNA
About the family: Transfer RNA (tRNA) molecules are approximately 80 nucleotides in length. Their secondary structure includes four short double-helical elements and three loops (D, anti-codon, and T loops).
Source: Rfam